GGGAACGAUUACAAUCAAGGAGAGAGAGAAGGAAAGGAAUCAAUUCGUACAUGGUUCAUCAUGCAAUACUUGUUAUAAUAAGAAUUUCUACCUCUAGAUUAUAAGCAAAUCUUAUUCCAAAAAAAACAAUGUUGUCAUUGGGAGAUCUAUCCAAAGACCUUAGUGGUUGAAAAACGAGAAAAAGUGAACAACAAAGGGGGCUUCGGGAUUCAAAAAUGCAGUUUGAAGUGAAGGAACGUAAGUUUGAAGAAUUUGAAUUAAAAACUUUAUCGAAUUUUUUUUUUGCUAUGGUUGAAGAUGAAGAGUUUGAGGAAUGUGUGCAAGGAAAGAAAAAUAUCAUGUUUUUAGAUAUUCCAUUGGAAGUUGAAGAAAGACCAUCCAUAGAGAUAAUAAUGGAGGACGAAGAAACUAAAGUCAUGGAUUUUAUGGAAGUUGAAAGUUUAUCUAUCUUUACCCUCUAUUGCUUCCCUUAAUUUUAUUUGUCCAAGUGUUUUUGUAGAGCAAAGGCAAGGGCAAAGUUGAUCAAUUCAAUAUCAUUUGAAUCUCCAUGGACCAUCUCAUCAAAGAAGGCUAUCUGGUGCACAUCCCCAAUAAUGAUUUUCAUUCUCCUUCAAUUCAAAAUUCGAGGGAGGAUUUAUUCCUAGUGGAGAAGAAUGAUAUGAAAGUGUUCUAACUCGAGGACAAGUUUUUCCCAAGUGGAAGAGUAUGAUGCAGAGCAUGUUUCUUCAAACCAGUAAACCACACACCCACCUAGUGUACCAGGCCCUGCCACAUGCCCAGGAAGUGUG
RNAcentral lists this unclassified non-coding RNA (788 nucleotides) under Hevea brasiliensis (rubber tree). The record is from RNAcentral. Lineage: Eukaryota; Viridiplantae; Streptophyta; Magnoliopsida; Malpighiales; Euphorbiaceae.